UACGUAGGGGGCGAGCGUUGUCCGAAUUUACUGGGCGUAAAGCGCGCGUAGGCGGACCUUUAAGUUGGGUGUGAAAUCUCAGGGCUCAACCCUGAAACUGCACCCAAAACUGGGGGUCUUGAGGUAUGGAGAGGGAAGUGGAAUUCCUGGUGUAGCGGUGAAAUGCGUAGAUAUCAGGAGGAACACCCGUGGCGAAGGCGGCUUCCUGGCCAUAAACUGACGCUGAGGUGCGAAAGCUAGGGGAGCGAACGGG
Molecule: ribosomal RNA, 253 nt
Filed under: uncultured bacterium
Lineage: Bacteria
Description: partial 16S ribosomal RNA
Rfam family: Bacterial small subunit ribosomal RNA
Source: RNAcentral